GUGGGGAAUAUUGGACAAUGGGCGCAAGCCUGAUCCAGCCAUGCCGCGUGAGUGAUGAAGGCCUUAGGGUUGUAAAGCUCUUUCACCGGUGAAGAUAAUGACGGUAACCGGAGAAGAAGCCCCGGCUAACUUCGUGCCAGCAGCCGCGGUAAUACGAAGGGGGCUAGCGUUGUUCGGAAUUACUGGGCGUAAAGCGCACGUAGGCGGAUAUUUAAGUCAGGGGUGAAAUCCCAGAGCUCAACUCUGGAACUGCCUUUGAUACUGGGUAUCUCGAGUAUGGAAGAGGUAAGUGGAAUUCCGAGUGCAGAGGUGAAAUUCGUAGAUAUUCGGAGGAACACCAGUGGCGAAGGCGGCUUACUGGUCCAUUACUGACGCUGAGGUGCGAAAGCGUGGGGAGCAAACAGGAUUAGAAACCCGGGUAGUCC
Molecule: ribosomal RNA, 425 nt
Filed under: uncultured bacterium
Lineage: Bacteria
Description: partial 16S ribosomal RNA
Rfam family: Bacterial small subunit ribosomal RNA
Source: RNAcentral